RNAcentral lists this small nuclear RNA (153 nucleotides) under Gopherus agassizii (Agassiz's desert tortoise). Its description in RNAcentral is "U1 spliceosomal RNA (ENSGAGG00000000346.1)". It matches the Rfam family "U1 spliceosomal RNA". Rfam says of the family: U1 is a small nuclear RNA (snRNA) component of the spliceosome (involved in pre-mRNA splicing). The record is from RNAcentral. Lineage: Eukaryota; Metazoa; Chordata; Testudines; Testudinidae.
AUGCUUGCCUGGCAGGGGUGAUACCCUGAGCAUGAAGGUGGUUUUCCCGGGAAGAGGCUCAUCCAUUCCCCUGGGGGUGGGCACCUCGCCUGUGGGGGGGGCUGUGUGCACGCUCCCCCGGCUACUGGUCAAAGACAGACGUGUCUGUGUCCC